This 1866-nucleotide ribosomal RNA is filed under the name human gut metagenome. RNAcentral's name for it is "bacterial LSU rRNA". It matches the Rfam family "Bacterial large subunit ribosomal RNA", at positions 447 to 2321 of the family's 2925-position model. The record is from RNAcentral.
CCGGGACCAUCCGGUAAGGCUAAAUACUCCCGAGAGACCGAUAGCGAACCAGUACCGUGAGGGAAAGGUGAAAAGCACUUCGAACAGAAGAGUGAAAUAGUUCCUGAAACCGUGCGCCUACAAGCGGUCGGAGCUCGUUAAUGAGUGACGGCGUGCCUUUUGCAUAAUGAACCUACGAGUUGCCUUUGCCGGCAAGGUUAAGUGUGACGACACACGUAUCCGAAGCGAAAGCGAGUCUGAAGAGGGCGUAUAGUCGGCAGUGGCAGACGCGAAACCAAGUGAUCUACCCUUGGCCAGGUUGAAGGCUGGGUAACACCAGCUGGAGGACCGCACCAAUAAGCGUUGAAAAGCUUCUGGAUGAGCUGAGGGUAGGGGUGAAAGGCUAAUCAAACUUGGAGAUAGCUCGUACUCCCCGAAAUGCAUUUAGGUGCAGCCUUGCGGGUUACUGAUGUGAGGUAGAGCGACUGAUAAGAUGCGAGGGCUUCACCGCCUAUCAAGUCUUGACAAACUCCGAAUGCGCAUCAGUUCUACCGCAGGAGUGAGGGCAUGGGUGCUAAGGUCCGUGCCCGAGAGGAGAAGAAUCCGGACCACCUGCUAAGGUCCCGAAAUGACAGCUAAGUUAAACUAACGAAGUCUGACUGCUAAGACAGCUAGGAUGUUGGCUUGGAAGCAGCCAUUCAUUUAAAGAGUGCGUAACAGCUCACUAGUCGAGGAGUCGGGCGUGGAUAAUAAUCGGGUAUUAAGUUGUCUACCGAAGCAGUGGGAUCAUUUAUAUGAUCGGUAGGGGAGCAUUCCAGUCAGCGUCGAAGGCGUACCGUGAGGUAUUCUGGAGCGUCUGGAAAAGCAAAUGUAGGUAUAAGUAACGAUAAAGGGGGCGGGAAACCCCCUCGCCGAAAGACUAAGGUUUCCUGAUCAACGCUAAUCGGAUCAGGGUCAGUCGGGUCCUAAGGCUCAGCCGAACGGCGAUGCCGAUGGCAGAAACGGUUAAUAUUCCGUUACUACCUUCAGGAGUGACGUGGAGACGCAGUAGUGACAGUGCCGCCAUCUGACGGAAUAGAUGGUUGAAGGGUGUAGGAGUCGAUCAUGGCAGGCAAAUCCACCAUGAGAUCCGAACCUGAUAGUAUGCCGCGUCCUUCGGGACAAGGCAAUAGUGCGCGUAAGCAUGCUGCCGAGAAAAUCCGCUAAACUUAAUCCUGUAGGUACCCGUACCGCAAACGGACACACGUAGUCGGGAUGAAUAUUCUAAGGCGCUUGAGUGAUUCACGGUUAAGGAACUAGGCAAACUGACCCUGUAACUUCGGGAUAAAGGGUCCCUACCCUUUUAUGGGAGGGCGCAGAGAAUCGGUCCAGGCAACUGUUUAACAAAAACACAGGGCUGUGCCAAAUCGAAAGAUCCAGUAUACAGCCUGACACCUGCCCGGUGCUGGAAGGUUAAGAGGAGAUGUCAUCGAUAAGAGAAGCGUUGAAUUGAAGCCCCAGUAAACGGCGGCCGUAACUAUAACGGUCCUAAGGUAGCGAAAUUCCUUGUCGGGUAAGUUCCGACCUGCACGAAUGGUGUAAUGAUCCGGACGCUGUCUCAACCAUGAGCUCAGUGAAAUUGUAGUAUCGGUGAAGAUGCCGAUUACCCGCGAUGGGACGAAAAGACCCCGUGAACCUUUACUAUAGCUUAUCAUUGAAUCUGGGCACGUGAUGUGUAGGAUAGGUCGGAGGCUUUGAAGCAGGUACGCCAGUAUUUGUGGAGCCGCUGUUGAAAUACGACCCUUUAUUUGUUUGGAUUCUAACCCGUGGAACGGGGACAUUGAUUGGUGGGUAGUUUGACUGGGGUGGUCGCCUCCAAAAGCGUAACGGAGGCUUCUAAAGGUGCCC